Molecule: ribosomal RNA, 422 nt
Filed under: uncultured bacterium
Lineage: Bacteria
Description: bacterial SSU rRNA
Rfam family: Bacterial small subunit ribosomal RNA
Source: RNAcentral
UAAGGAAUAUUGGUCAAUGGAGGCAACUCUGAACCAGCCAUGCCGCGUGAAGGAUUAAGGCCCUCUGGGUUGUAAACUUCUUUUAUAUGGGAAGAAAUGUUCUGAUUCUUCAGAGCUUGACGGUACCAUAGGAAUAAGCACCGGCUAACUCCGUGCCAGCAGCCGCGGUAAUACGAAGGGUGCAAGCGUUACUCGGAAUCACUGGGCGUAAAGCGUGCGUAGGUGGUUGUUUAAGUCUGAUGUGAAAGCCCUGGGCUCAACCUGGGAAUGGCAUUGGAAACUGGGCAGCUAGAGUGCGGUAGAGGGUAGUGGAAUUCCCGGUGUAGCAGUGAAAUGCGUAGAGAUCGGGAGGAACAUCUGUGGCGAAGGCGACUGCCUGGACCAGCACUGACACUGAGGCACGAAAGCGUGGGGAGCAAACA